RNAcentral lists this long non-coding RNA (272 nucleotides) under Elaeis guineensis (African oil palm). RNAcentral describes it as "long non-coding RNA (EGUI_LNC033031)". The record is from RNAcentral. Lineage: Eukaryota; Viridiplantae; Streptophyta; Magnoliopsida; Arecales; Arecaceae.
UGCCUUUUAUAACUUCAAAUAAUGGUGGAGAGUAAUCUGGGCUGAAAUAGAACCGCUAGAGCACAUUAAAUGGACAUUAAAUGCAAUCAAAAUGGGUUAAAAACUAGCCGUUGCAGAAAUUUUUCAUCACAGGGGUCGACUCAUAGGGUCGACUUAUGCUCAUGGGUCGACUCAUGAGGUCGACCUCUGUGAAAAAAAGUAAAAAAUGAUUGUUCUGUAAUUUUGGCCUGCAGAGCAGCAGAGGUCGACUUAUAGGGUCGACUCAUGCUCAG